Molecule: ribosomal RNA, 253 nt
Filed under: uncultured bacterium
Lineage: Bacteria
Description: partial 16S ribosomal RNA
Rfam family: Bacterial small subunit ribosomal RNA
Source: RNAcentral
CACGUAGGGCGCAAGCGUUGUCCGGAAUUAUUGGGCGUAAAGAGCUCGUAGGCGGUCUGUUACGUCUGCUGUGAAAACCCGGGGCUUAACCCUGGGCUUGCAGUGGAUACGGACAGACUAGAGGUAGGUAGGGGAGAAUGGAAUUCCCGGUGUAGCGGUGAAAUGCGCAGAUAUCAGGAAGAACACCCGUGGCGAAGGCGGCUCUCUGGGACGGUACUGACGCUGAGACGCGAAAGCGUGGGGAGCGAACAGG